RNAcentral lists this ribosomal RNA (1491 nucleotides) under uncultured organism. RNAcentral's name for it is "bacterial SSU rRNA". It matches the Rfam family "Bacterial small subunit ribosomal RNA". The record is from RNAcentral.
AGGGUUUGAUUAUGGCUCAGGACGAACGCUGGCGGCGCGCCUAACACAUGCAAGUCGAGCGUGAAGCUUUUGUUUGAUCCUUCGGGUGAUUUCAAAAGUGGAGAGCGGCGGACGGGUGAGUAACGCGUGGGAAACCUGCCCUAUACAGGAGAAUAGCCUCGGGAAACUGGGAUUAAUGCUCCAUGAAACUCUAGCACCGCAUGGUGCAUGAGUCAAAACUCAGGUGGUAUAGGAUGGUCCCGCGUCCCAUUAGCUAGUUGGUGAGGUAAAAGCUCACCAAGGCCACGAUGGGUAGCCGGCCUGAGAGGGUGAUCGGCCACACUGGAACUGAGACACGGUCCAGACUCCUACGGGAGGCAGCAGUGGGGAAUAUUGCACAAUGGGGGAAACCCUGAUGCAGCGACGCCGCGUGAGCGAUGAAGGUUUUCGAAUCGUAAAGCUCUGUCCUUGGAGAAGAAUUUUGACGGUAUCCAAGGAGGAAGCCCCGGCUAACUACGUGCCAGCAGCCGCGGUAAUACGUAGGGGGCUAGCGUUGUCCGGAAUCACUGGGCGUAAAGGGAGCGUAGGCGGCCCUGUAAGUCAGAUGUUAAAUCCUUUGGCUUAACCAAAGUAAGCAUUUGAAACUAUAGGGCUUGAGUACAGUAGAGGAGAGUGGAAUUCCUAGUGUAGCGGUGAAAUGCGUAGAUAUUAGGAAGAACACCAGUGGCGAAGGCGACUCUCUGGACUGUUACUGACGCUCAGGCUCGAAAGCGUGGGGAGCGAACAGGAUUAGAUACCCUGGUAGUCCACGCCGUAAACGAUGAGUGCUAGGUGUUGGGGCCGACAGGUCUCGGUGCCGCAGUUAACGCAUUAAGCACUCCGCCUGGGGAGUACGAUCGCAAGAUUGAAACUCAAAGGAAUUGACGGGGGCCCGCACAAGCAGCGGAGCAUGUGGUUUAAUUCGAAGCAACGCGAAGAACCUUACCAGGACUUGACAUCCCGCAGACUACCUUAGAAAUAAGGUUUUCUCUUCGGAGACUGCGGUGACAGGUGGUGCAUGGUUGUCGUCAGCUCGUGUCGUGAGAUGUUGGGUUAAGUCCCGCAACGAGCGCAACCCUUACUUUUAGUUGCCAGCAGUUAGGCUGGGCACUCUAGAAGGACUGCCGGUGACAAACCGGAGGAAGGUGGGGAUGACGUCAAAUCAUCAUGCCCCUUAUGUUCUGGGCUACACACGUGCUACAAUGGUCGGUACAACGGGUUGCUAACCUGUGAAGGGGAGCUAAUCCCGAUAAGCCGGUCCCAGUUCGGAUUGUAGGCUGCAAUUCGCCUACAUGAAGUUGGAGUUGCUAGUAAUCGCGGAUCAGAAUGUCGCGGUGAAUGCGUUCCCGGGCCUUGUACACACCGCCCGUCACACCAUGGGAGUUGGUAAUACCCGAAGCCAUCGAGCUAACCUUUGGAGGCAGAUGUCGAAGGUAGGACCAAUGACUGGGGUGAAGUCGUAACAAGGUAACC